Molecule: long non-coding RNA, 7194 nt
Filed under: Ananas comosus (pineapple)
Lineage: Eukaryota; Viridiplantae; Streptophyta; Magnoliopsida; Poales; Bromeliaceae
Description: long non-coding RNA (ACOM_LNC015007)
Source: RNAcentral
CCAUUUCUUUAAUAACUUUGUAACGGCUCGUCGGAUUGCCGAACCGUCUUCGCCAACGCGUUCGUUUACCUAGCAAUUUGGUUUACGGAGGGUCAAAUGAGAUCAAACCCUCAUAUUUUAAAAAACCCCAUUUUCUAAGCCUAAUAUGAAUUAAUCUCCAAAUAAUCCAAAUUAAAUAGAGCAAACAUGUUUAGAAUGCUCAUUAGAGGCUAUUAGAACACUUAAAACUAAGGAUUAAGCCAAAUCCUAAAAGCUUACCUCAAUGUGAACGCCGCGACGACAACACACCGCUCCAACGGGCGCACGAAAGCUCAAUCCGUCGCCUCCAACGCGUUCGCAAGCAUAUUCUCCACCAACCCCGCGAAUUUGAGCGAGAGAUAUAGAGAAAUGAGAGAGAUCUCUAGAGAGAGAAAGGAGAGUUUCUCUCCUCUCUCCAUGUGUGCGUGAGGUGUGUGUGGGUGUGCACGGCUGAAGGAGGAAGAAGAAGCAUCAUGCUUCUAUUUAAUUACACCCCAACACUAUUCACCUCCAGGCAGCUUAAAAUCUGAUAACUUUCGCCGGAGCUCCCUGAAUGUCCGUUUGAGCUCAAACUUGACAGUCAUGUUCGGUUUUACUUAACUUAACAAGCUGACGAUCACUGGUUCAGUUUCGACCCCGUUUGGUCACUGAAAACUGUACCGAACUGCAAUCUUUAUCAGAUAGCUUUCGGAUUUUAUUUCUCACUCUAUGGGUGUCAGAAAAAUAUGAAACCUUAAAUCUAGCCUCAUAAAAAUAUUUCUGACAUCUCCGCCAAUUUUCAUAAUUUUCUGAGACUGUGCAUUUUCUGCUUAUUUUUCUGUCCCGUCUCCAACAGAAAAUUCUAGAUCUUCUGUUUUAAUUCCGAUUUCAGCACAAGUCACCUCUGACUUAUGUUUUACCUCUAUAAAUCUAAUAAAAAUAGUUUCUCACACUAUUUUUAUUUAUUAUUAUUUUUAUACCAAAAUCUGGUAUAUUACAUUCUCCACCCCUUAAAAAGAAUUUCGUCCGCGAAAUUCAAAACACACCUCAAUUCAGCUCCUCGAGCAAUUGAGGGCACCAAUGCACUUUUUCACUUCGGAAUGGCUUUACACUCCUUGGAACUAUCCAAGAGAACUAUCACGGAGGGUACAAUACCAAACUCAUACAACUUUGUAAGGUGCAUCCCACAAAGUGCAUUACGGUAUCCACCAUUCUUGGUGGAAGCGCAAGUCGAAAUUCAACGACUACACACGCUCCAACCCCACUUGUCAUUUGGCAUGCAAGAACUCUUCUUUGCAUGUACUCUCCCUUCAGGGAAUACAUUCCGAUUCUAUCUCCAACAGUGCUUAAAAGCAACAUCACUGAUGCAUCGCUUCCGCGCGAGUGCUCUAAUUCCGCACUGAUCUUUAGCUCUAACAUGAGAUGGCCCACCUCGGCGCCUCCCAAUUCCAAUCCUCAAAUUCCACGUGGCUUGCUACUAGCUCAAGGUCUCACAAGGAGCACUUCAUCUUCUAAUACCAUAUGCCACGGUCAACAUUGAACUAAUUUCGCAACGAGCUCACACGAACGCUUCAUUCGUGGAUUCGAGUUAGACUCCUCGAUAAGGCUAUCCGCCAAACCGCUCUCUUCGGUCUCCACAGGUGGACCAAAGGCCACCAAUCCUACGUAGGCCUACCGCCUAACCUUUCUCAAUACGCAGCGUCUCUCGCUCGCAAUGCAGACCCAAUCAUCAUUGGGGCGAAAUUCUCACUUGGGAAUUCGCACACACUCCAACCAGGAGCAACUAAGAUCCCAAACCGUUACAGAUUCCCGGGUUGGGUCACACUCGCACUCUCAGUAUACUAUCAAUCGCACUACAUGCUCUAUAGCACAAUACGUACCACUAUCGGCUCCUAUGCACCUAGUGCGAGCCACCAGCCCCACGAGUGAUCCGUGGCACGCUUCACACCUAGCAAUGCUCAGGUGCUACUGCCAACACACUCAUCCGGCUAAACUAAAUCCGCACUCCACGAGUAACUAUACUCGUGUAUCGCACGCCUCUAAAGCGCUCCACACUAUGUCCAGCAUUAGGCAACUCUUGCCUAUGCACACCGGCCACACGAGCAUGGCUCACCUACCUCGAUUCGAGGUACUACUAGGCAAAAGCGCCAGUAGUUGGCAACAAACCGUUCCAUCGGAGCAACAUCCGGAAUACUCGAACCAUUCGAGUGUCCACAAGUGUCACGUCACAACUCUCGCAAUCAGCUAUACAUUGCUCUGCGAGUUAGUCCGUCACUCCCAUCUCUACUGUGAAUCUCAUCAUUAGACCAUCACUAGCAACUCGCUAGUGCCAUCCAGUUCUCUACCUGCACCGGCAGGUGCAACGCUUUCACCACAUAAGCGUGCCCGGGUAUUUACAUUUAUCCGCUCACUUGGACCCUACUAUGCUACUACAUAAAUAGUAGUAAUUAAUUACAUGCUCAAUGCAUGCAAUGCACCAACUUUACAUUAUGCAGAAACACAUAACUGCAUUAAUGGCUCAUACCUGCCAUGACGUUGUCAGCAGCAGGUUCCAUAUCCCGGACAUAGUUCACGAUAGGGAGAAUUCCCGUUCGUACUCUCUAACUGAGCGGUCUCCUUGCCGCAGCUUCCUGAACUUGUCCUGAAGCUUUCUCUUUUCACUGUCGGGGGAAGUAAGUAGAAGAUACCAAUCCCCAAAACUCAUCCCAUGCCAUGGAGGAAUACUAGGCGAUCGGUUCCGCCGAAUGCCUUUCCACCACGCCUUAGCCGACUGUUUCAAACAAUACACGGCUAGGGGUACCCUGUCCCGCUCCAAGGUAGACAGCUCCUCGAAGAGCGUUUCCACGGAGUCAAUCCACGUAUCCACAAUCCACGAAUCGACAUUCUCUCCAUCGAAGAUAGGUGGAUCAAACUUUAUGAAGGUCAUGAGGGCUGCCAAAGCCCGCUCUUUCUCCUUCUUUUCCUUUCCUUUCUUCCUCCUCUUCUUGUCUUCUAGAGAGAGAAAGAGAGAUAUGAGAGGGUGUGUGGGUGAGAAAUGAGAGAAAAGAGCUCUCAUACUCCUCACAUAGCCCCACAUGUUGCAUAAGUGCAAACAAGCCUCUCAACUUUUACUCUUUUACACUGCCCUGACUGGGCCAUUUUCAGGUUCGGGGACCGGUCUCCCCGACGAGGGACCGGUCUCCGAGAGCUCUCCCCGCGGUCAGCAGGGCUCACGCACGAUGCAUCCGGUCUCCCCCGAUGGGACCGGUCUCUUCGGGACCGGUCUCUCCCUGCAGGGACCGGUUCCCGAGAGCUGUCCACCGGGGACUUAGCCGAUUUUUCCUCCCUUUCGCUGUCUGCGCGUGCGGGGACCGGUCUCUCCCACCAGGGACCGGUCCCCGAGAGCAGAAAACCUGCAGUUUGCAGAUUUUGAUUCCCAAAGCUCUCGAAGAUCCCCAGCAACGCACUUUUGCAUUAUUUGACGCCUUCGGCCUUUCCGAAGUGUACCAACCUCGCUCUUUGGUCAAUUUGACCAAGGUUCGAUGUUCGCUUACCGAAGUUUCGGUAUAUUACACCUACAAUUUUUUUUCGGAGUCUCUUAAUUCGCUCCUCCUGGUGUAUAGCAGCCUCCUGCUGCCGCUGCACCACAUCUGCUCGUUGCCUCACCACACCCACAAGUGUGGCCAACCGUUCGCGAAGUUCCAAAUCUCCGCUCGCCUUGGAUUGCUCUGGGACAUCACUUGUCCCACCCCGCGUCGAUCUAAACGAAGAUCGCCUACGCGGUGCCAUCGUUACCUAGAACAUAACAACUCAACUAACUCUCAACCUUCUAGGUCGAGUACGAGACAACUGACAUCAACUCAAAUCGGGCGAAAGUCAUACAAGGGCAUCUAUUCUCAUCACUCGGUUUCAUGUUGUACGCGUCCAACAUGAACACUCUCGGUUGAGAAUAGACAACACCUUGGAUCUACCUCUAAUCUCCUUUUUAGAGGUUUACAACACAACCCAAUCCCUUAACCUUUCGCCAAAAGUCACAAGUCCUCGUCUCUCACGAGCCUUAAUCUCCUAUGGUUUACUAUCCUAGGGUCUCCUAGGUUCAUCUAAACCACUUUCCCAUUCUCUACUUUAUGCUCUGAUACCAUCUUACCUGUCACGCCCCGAGCCCGCCUCUUUGGUCGGAUUCGGGCACGCCAACAGACCGCCGAACGGACAGGGUUUCCCCUGCACGCGGACAGAGUCUCCCCUGUACGUUCAAGGCGUCGCAAUCAAUACAAUUACAAGAGGUUCCAAACAGGAACAAUUUUCAACAACGAUUGCAUAAGGAAGGUAUCAAACAACAUAACACAUCCUAUGUUAUUACAAUCAUUCAUCUCAUCAUUUUACAUCGCAUUUUUCAUUACAUUGAUUCUCAACUUCCAAAUAUACAAUCGAUUUCUAAACAUAAUAUUACAACAUCGAUUCUUUUCUUUUCUUUUCUUAUACCCCUAAGAAGCCGACUCAGGGUGCUGCUAUCUGGUCUCUGUGGUAGGGCGCUAACUACGGAGCUACGCCCUUUCCUCGCGCCGCCGCGCCGCUCGCGUGUGAACCUGUACCCCCAAAAACAACAACACGGGGGUGAGACUAUUGUCCAUAGUCGUCAGUGGGUACAGCCACCCAAGUGAAAAGCUCAACCCACCAGGUCCAAAGGAGGCACUGCAACAUGUUAGUCCAACAGAUAUAUAUAUAUAUAACAUCAUGCAAUACAUGUUCAUGCCUCACAAAUAUGCAAAUUAUGCAACUCUUAGUCAUUCUUUACCAUUAGCCUUUCUUUAGAAUAUGCAAUUCUUUAUCAUUAGCCAUUCUUUAUUCUUUAAUCUUUAUUCUUUAUUCUUUAUUCUUUAUGCUUUAUUCUUUAUGCUUUAUUCUUUGUUCUUUAUCCUUUACUAAGGGCACUCGCGCCUUAGGCUCAUCAUACACAUUUGCCAUUCUUUAUAACAUUAACAAGUCUUUCUCAAUUAUCACUCUUUCCUAAGGUUACAUUUACCUUAGCCAACUAUGCCACUCGACUCGGUCUUGAGUCAAUUCAUAAUGAAUACAAGAUCCACUUUCCAAUUCAUGAUUCCUUUUUGUUCUUUGUUCUUUAAUCUCACGGCUAACCCGGGGGUUUCGCCACAUUAACUUGCUUCACAUUAAGUCCAUCAUCGCAGGAACUCACCAGCUAGGACCGUCCUUACGGGUCUACUCCAACCCGGAUGCCAAACUCCGGAGCGCAUCGCCCGAGGGGGAGCGACCGCCCUCGAGCACGGAACUCAUAGCAAGUAUGAUCAAUCCUUAACUCUAAGGAUAUGUAGUUGGAUCAUGGUUUUACACUAACUCUAGUGUUCUUUACAUCACAUUAGUUGCUAACUCUAGCAAUCAUUAUUCUUUAUACCACAAUUAUCAAUUACUUUAGUAAUUAUCAUUCUUGAUACCACACUUGUUCUUUUAUUGCCACACACUAACUCUAGUGUUCUUUAUGUCACAUUGGUUGCUAACUUUAGCCAUUAUCAUUGUUCUUUACACUUUGCUUGUUCUUUAUGCCACAUUACUUUACAUCGCCUCUAGCCAUUAUCAUUAUUCUUUACAUCACAUUGCUUUGCCUUGUCUCAAGCCAUUAUCAUUAGGUUCUCACAUUACAUCUCAUGCAUACACAUAGAUUAUUUAGAUUCUUAAUCAUUCUAAUAAGCACGUGUACUCACAUCAUGCAACAUUACAUUAUUAUCAUCACAUUGUUUUACAUUAUCUUUAGCCAUUAUCAUUGUUCUUUACAUCACAUUUAUUCUUUGAUGUCCCACACUAACUCUAGUGUCCACUUUACCAUUUCGAAUGCCACUCGAUCUAUGUUCAACAUGCAUAUAUUUUGUCAUCCAUUGGUAGUCAUUACUUAGCAUUUUAUGCAUUCGUUAACAUUUACUACAUGCAUUCUCGGUUAGUACAAAUCUCAUACUUUCAUUUGACAUCUAUUUAGCAUUUCUAUAAUAUGCACAUAUAAAUUAACAUCAACUCAUGCAUUCAUUUGGCAUCUAUCUUUAUCAUGCAUUCUUAAUUAGCAUACUUUAUCAUGCAUUCUCAAAUAGCAUACUUUAAUCUUUAUCAUGCAUUCUUAAAUAGCAUACUUUAUCAUGCGUCAAUAGUAAACAUACUACACUUUAGCAUGGAAAGCGACCUAAUCGCUUCGGUGAGCACAACCCACCUCAUUUCGCAUUCCGAUUGCUUGUCGACACUUGCAAUCGGCCUCCCGCGGCACCCGUAACCCGGUUUGGCCCGAUCUCUCACGCGACCACCCGAACGGCCUCCAAUUCACGAUCCGAAAAUUAAAGGUCUUCGGUUAUGUGCCACGAAGCUUCAAAUCCAUUUUCAUGAAUUUACGAUAUCGCCUCGGCCCUCCCGGCGGACCCGAAGCCUAAACGUCCGUUUCUUUAAUAACUUCGCAACGGCUCGUCGGAUUGCCGAACCGUCUUCGCCAACGCGUUCGUUUACCUAGCAAUUAGGUUUAUAUAGGGUCAAUUUAGAUCAAACCCUUACAUUUUACAAAACCCCAUUCGGAGCCCUAAUAUGCUAUUAACCUCAAAAUAAUCCAAAAUUAAAUGGAUCAACAUGCUAACAAAGCUCAUUAGAGGCUAUUAGAAUACUUAAAGCUAAGGAUUAAGCCAAAUCCUAAAAGCUUACCUCAAUGUGAACGCCGCGACGACAACACACCGCUCCAACGGGCGCACGAAAGCUCAAUCCGUCGCCUCCAACGCGUUCGCAAGCAUAUUCUCCACCAACCCCGCGAAUUUGAGCGAGAGAUAUAGAGAAAUGAGAGAGAUCUCUAGAGAGAGAAAGGAGAGUUUCUCUCCUCUCUCCAUGUGUGCGUGAGGUGUGUGUGGGUGUGCACGGCUGAAGGAGGAAGAAGAAGCAUCAUGCUUCUAUUUAAUUACACCCCAACACUAUUCACCUCCAGGCAGCUUAAAAUCUGAUAACUUUCGCCGGAGCUCCCUGAAUCUCCGUUUGAGCUCAAACUUGACAGUCAUGUUCGGUUUUACUUAACUUAACAAGCUGACGAUCACUGGUUCAGUUUCGACCCCGUUUGGUCACUGAAAACUGUACCGAACUGCAAUCUUUAUCAGAUAGCUUUCGGAUUUUAUUUCUCACUCUAUGGGUGUCAGAAAAAUAUGAAACCUUAAAUCUAGCCUCAUAAAAAUAUUUCUGACAUCUCCG